GAUGAACGCUGGCGGCGUGCCUAAUACAUGCAAGUCGAGCGAACGGACGAGAAGCUUGCUUCUCUGAUGUUAGCGGCGGACGGGUGAGUAACACGUGGAUAACCUACCUAUAAGACUGGGAUAACUUCGGGAAACCGGCUCUAAUACCGGAUAAUAUUUUGAACCGCAUGGUUCAAAAGUGAAAGACGGUCUUGCUGUCACUUAUAGAUGGAUCCGCGCUGCAUUAGCUAGUUGGUAAGGUAACGGCUUACCAAGGCAACGAUGCAUAGCCGACCUGAGAGGGUGAUCGGCCACACUGGAACUGAGACACGGUCCAGACUCCUACGGGAGGCAGCAGUAGGGAAUCUUCCGCAAUGGGCGAAAGCCUGACGGAGCAACGCCGCGUGAGUGAUGAAGGUCUUCGGAUCGUAAAACUCUGUUAUUAGGGAAGAACAUAUGUGUAAGUAACUGUGCACAUCUUGACGGUACCUAAUCAGAAAGCCACGGCUAACUACGUG
This 497-nucleotide ribosomal RNA is filed under the name uncultured bacterium. RNAcentral's name for it is "partial 16S ribosomal RNA". It matches the Rfam family "Bacterial small subunit ribosomal RNA", at positions 28 to 507 of the family's 1533-position model. The record is from RNAcentral.